UGCCCAGCAACUCCUAUUCCUACCUCCUCGUGGUACUGGCCGGGGUACGAGUAACCUUGGGGAAGAUCGGGUAACCAACCCCCGGUGGGAACUUUGGUCGUAUGCUGACAGGGAAGG
Aedes aegypti (yellow fever mosquito) is the source of this 117-nucleotide non-coding RNA. The record is from Rfam. Lineage: Eukaryota; Metazoa; Arthropoda; Insecta; Diptera; Culicidae.